Molecule: ribosomal RNA, 508 nt
Filed under: Hydroporus compunctus
Lineage: Eukaryota; Metazoa; Arthropoda; Insecta; Coleoptera; Dytiscidae
Also listed under: 1 other name
Description: partial 16S ribosomal RNA
Rfam family: Bacterial large subunit ribosomal RNA
Source: RNAcentral
GUCCUUUAGUUAAAAAUAAUUUAAGGUUUAACCUGCCCAUUGAUAGAAUUAAAAGGCCGCAGUAAUUUGACUGUGCAAAGGUAGCAUAAUCAUUAGUUUUUUAAUUAAAAGCUUGUAUGAAUGGUUGGACGAGAUAAAAUCUGUCUCUUUAUGAAAAAUAGAAUUUAAUUUUUAAGUUAAAAAGCUUAAAUUUAAAUAAAAGACGAGAAGACCCUAUAGAUCUUUAUAUAAUUUUUUUUAGUAUUAAUAAAGAAAAUUUUAUUUAUUAAUUAAUAUUAUAUUUUAUUGGGGUAAUAAAAAGAUUAAAAAAAUUCUUUUAAAUUUUACAAAAAUUAUUGAUUAUAUGAUCCAUUAUUAAUGAUUAUAAGAUUAAGUUACCUUAGGGAUAACAGCGUAAUUUUUUUAAAGAGUUCUUAUCAAUAAAAAAGUUUGCGACCUCGAUGUUGGAUUAAAAGUAAUUUUGGGUGUAGAAGUUCAAAAUUUUGGUCUGUUCGACCAUUAAAUUUUU